AAUAAACGAAUUUAUGAGUUUUUACAUAGAUUUUUUGAGUCUUCGUCUUAUUUGAAAAAUUAUGAUUAAUAUUUUUGUUAUUAUUACAUGAUAAAAUAUGAAAAGUUUUACAUGUGACUAAUUUUUUUUAAUUUUUUAAUAAAUUUUUCAAAUAAGACGAUGGUCAAACGGUCUAUACAUAGAACUCAGA
This 190-nucleotide microRNA precursor is filed under the name Oryza brachyantha (malo sina). RNAcentral's name for it is "MIR812 microRNA precursor family". It matches the Rfam family "MIR812 microRNA precursor family". The record is from Rfam by way of RNAcentral. Lineage: Eukaryota; Viridiplantae; Streptophyta; Magnoliopsida; Poales; Poaceae.